This 253-nucleotide ribosomal RNA is filed under the name uncultured bacterium. RNAcentral's name for it is "partial 16S ribosomal RNA". It matches the Rfam family "Bacterial small subunit ribosomal RNA", at positions 524 to 776 of the family's 1533-position model. The record is from RNAcentral.
UACAGAGGUCUCAAGCGUUGUUCGGAUUCAUUGGGCGUAAAGGGUGCGUAGGCGGCGCGGUAAGUCGGGUGUGAAAUCUCGGAGCUUAACUCCGAAACUGCAUUCGAUACUGCCGUGCUUGAGGACUGGAGAGGAGACUGGAAUUUACGGUGUAGCGGUGAAAUGCGCAGAUAUCAGGAGGAACACCGGUGGCGAAGGCGGGUCUCUGGGCCGAUACUGACGCUGAGGAGCGAAAGCGUGGGGAGCGAACAGG